Molecule: long non-coding RNA, 649 nt
Filed under: Malus domestica (apple)
Lineage: Eukaryota; Viridiplantae; Streptophyta; Magnoliopsida; Rosales; Rosaceae
Description: long non-coding RNA (MDOM_LNC021141)
Source: RNAcentral
GUAAAUAAAUGUUGACCGAUAAAUCAAAGUUUCAACGCUCAUGUAUUACAUAAAUUUUACAAGUAGCGUGUGUCUAAACAAAAAAUUGAAAUAAGUUGGAAAAGUCAUCAAACAGGACACGUGUCAACACCUGGCAGAAACGACUUAUUUCAUCUGGAAUAUUAUAUUCAAAAUUAGGCCUUGGAAAAUUCUAUAAAUAGAAGGCUAAUUCAUUCAUUUAAGGGAACCAAAAUCAUUAGGCAAAAUUCUUGAAGCUCUGAAGCUCUGAAACUCCGAAACUCUCAAGCAUCCAGGUUCCCGAAGAAUCAAGAAAGCGUUCUUCGUUCUUCGUUCAUCGUUCUUCCAAGAUCAAGCCCCAACGGCCCUUUGGAUUAACAAUCAUCCACCAAUUCAAGAUCAAGCCCCGACGGCCCUUGAAGAAAGUGUUCUUCGUUCUUCGUUCAUUGUUCUUCCAAGAUCAAGCCCCAACGGCCAUUUAGAUCAACAAUCAUCCACCAAUUCAAGAUCAAGCCCCGACGGCCCUUGAAAAAAGUGUUCUUCGUUCUUCGUUCAUCGUUCUUCCAAGAUCAAGCCCCGAUGGCCCUUGGAUCAACCAUCCACCAAUUCAAGAUCAAGCCCCAAAGGCCCUUGAAGAACUUCCACCAAUUCA